GCAAGUCGCGCGCGAAUGAGGGCUUCGGCUCUCUAGUAGAGCGGCGAAAGGGUGAGUAAUGCUUGGGCAACCUGCCCUUGGCACGGGGAUAGCCACUGGAAACGGUGGGUAAUACCGGAUGGUCUCCGAGUGGCUGCGGUCACACGGAGUAAAGGUGGGGAUCUUCGGACCUACCGGCCAGGGAGGGGCUCGAGUCCUAUCAGCUUGUUGGUGCGGUAACGGCGCACCAAGGCAACGACGGGUAGCCGGACUGAGAGGUUGGCC
RNAcentral lists this ribosomal RNA (264 nucleotides) under uncultured bacterium. Its description in RNAcentral is "partial 16S ribosomal RNA". It matches the Rfam family "Bacterial small subunit ribosomal RNA", at positions 57 to 305 of the family's 1533-position model. The record is from RNAcentral.